This is a long non-coding RNA of Equus quagga, 546 nucleotides long. RefSeq lists it as uncharacterized. The transcript has 3 exons. The record is from RefSeq and is a predicted model, not a curated record. NCBI's taxonomy places the organism in Eukaryota, Metazoa, Chordata, Mammalia, Perissodactyla, Equidae.
GUGGCGUCAGUGUGCGUGGCACGAGCUGGGCAGGCAACAUGAGGGCGGAGAUAGGAGUCUGAUGAGAGAAGACUGUGGAAAACAGCUUGUGGUUUUGACGAUAAUUUCUCAAUUCCAGCCCCGUUUUUACAGAUGAGGCAACGCAGGCUCGAAGUAGUGAAGUGGUUUGCUCGAGCCUCCCCAACUAGCCAAAGGCAGGAUGCGAUUGGACCGAACAACAGGUGAGACAACAAGAUCAGAGAUUUGCUUUUCCGAGAGGCCUCAUUAAUUGGUGACUCAAAGACCCAAACUUGACUGUGAUGGAUCUUAUGAUACGCCGAUGCUAGAAACAAACAGAUGUUUUUGAAAUAAAAAUAAAGACUAUAUAUGGCAAUGAUAUUCACUUAUGAAUGCUAUUUCCCUUCUCCCUGUGUCAUUUAAAAAACAGUUAAUUUACAAGACUGUAUGCAGCAAAACCAAAUUCAGUUUCACAGUUAACAGAACAAUAAUUACUUGACAUUUGGGCCAGAACUCUGGGACGUUGAGGACCACUGAACAACAAAAACA